This 468-nucleotide ribosomal RNA is filed under the name uncultured bacterium. RNAcentral describes it as "partial 16S ribosomal RNA". It matches the Rfam family "Bacterial small subunit ribosomal RNA", at positions 28 to 507 of the family's 1533-position model. The record is from RNAcentral.
GACGAACGCUGGCGGCGUGCUUAACACAUGCAAGUCGAACGGAAAGGCCCUGCUUUUGUGGGGUGCUCGAGUGGCGAACGUGUGAGUAACACGUGAGUAACCUGCCCUUUACUUUGGGAUAACUUCAGGAAACUGGGGCUAAUACCGGAUAGGAGCUCCUGCUGCAUGGUGGGGGUUGGAAAGUUUCGGCGGUUGGGGAUGGACUCGCGGCUUAUCAGCUUGUUGGUGGGGUAGUGGCUUACCAAGGCUUUGACGGGUAGCUGGCCUGAGAGGGUGACCGGCGACAUUGGGAAUGAGAGACGGCCCAGAAUCAUACGGGAGGCAGCAGUGGGGAAUAUGGCACAAUGGGCGGAAGCCUGAUGCAGCAACGCCGCGUGCGGGAUGACGGCCUUCGGGUUGUAAACCGAUUUCGCCUGUGACGAAGCGUGAGUGACGGUAAUGGGUAAAGAAGCACCGGCUAACUACGUG